This 254-nucleotide ribosomal RNA is filed under the name uncultured bacterium. RNAcentral describes it as "partial 16S ribosomal RNA". It matches the Rfam family "Bacterial small subunit ribosomal RNA", at positions 524 to 776 of the family's 1533-position model. The record is from RNAcentral.
UACGUAGGGUGCAAGCGUUGUCCGGAAUUAUUGGGCGUAAAGAGCUCGUAGGCGGUUUGGUAAGUCGGGUGUGAAAUCUCCACGCUCAACGUGGAGGGGCCACUCGAUACUGCCAUGACUCGAGUCCGGUAGAGGAGUGUGGAAUUCCCGGUGUAGCGGUGAAAUGCGCAGAUAUCAGGAAGAACACCCGUGGCUAAGGCGGCUCUCUAGUACGGUACUGACGCUGAGACGCGAAAGCGUGGGGCGCGAACAGG